GGCCUGAUGGUCUAGUAGUAUGAUUCCUUGUUAGGGUAAGACCAUUCGAGGAGGUCCUGGGUUCAAUUCCCAGUCAGGCCC
Molecule: non-coding RNA, 81 nt
Organism: Mucidula mucida
Lineage: Eukaryota; Fungi; Basidiomycota; Agaricomycetes; Agaricales; Physalacriaceae
Source: the annotation of a GenBank genome assembly